RNAcentral lists this ribosomal RNA (431 nucleotides) under Dermestidae sp. VAITC8995. RNAcentral describes it as "partial large subunit ribosomal RNA". Lineage: Eukaryota; Metazoa; Arthropoda; Insecta; Coleoptera; Dermestidae. The record is from RNAcentral.
GUCUUUUUGUUUUAAUUUAAAGUCUGAUCUGCUCACUGAUUUUAUUAAAUAGCCGCGGUAUUUUGACCGUGCGAAGGUAGCAUAAUAAUUAGGUUCUUAAUUGGAAUCUGGAAUGAAUGAUUGGACGAGGAAAUUUCUGUCUCUUUCUUAUUUUAUUGAAUUUUACUUUUAAGUUAAAAGGCUUAAAUUUUAUUAAAAGACGAGAAGACCCUAUAGAGUUUUAUUAUUUAAUUUUUAUUUAUUUUAGGUUUUGUUUUUUGUAAAUUUUUUGAAUAAUUUGGUUGGGGUGACUGAAAAAUUUAAUUAACUUUUUUUUUAUUUAGACAAUGAUAUUUGAUUUUUUGAUCCGGUUUUUCCGAUUUAAGAUAAAUUACCUUAGGGAUAACAGCGUAAUUUUUUUUGAGAGUUCUUAUCGAAAAAAGAGUUUGCGA